UACGAAGGGGGCAAGCGUUUUCCGGAUUCACUGGGCGUAAAGGGCGCGCAGGCGGGUUUGCAAGUCAGAGGUGAAAUCCCACGGCUUAACCGUGGAACUGCCUUUGAAACUGUUAAUCUUGAGUCCGGAAGAGAGAGAUGGAAUUCCAGGUGUAGCGGUGAAAUGCGUAGAUAUCUGGAAGAACACCAGUUGCGAAGGCGGUCUCUUGGUCCGUUACUGACGCUCAGGCGCGAAAGCGUGGGGAGCAAACAGG
RNAcentral lists this ribosomal RNA (253 nucleotides) under uncultured bacterium. RNAcentral describes it as "partial 16S ribosomal RNA". It matches the Rfam family "Bacterial small subunit ribosomal RNA", at positions 524 to 776 of the family's 1533-position model. The record is from RNAcentral.